Molecule: RNA transcript, 2263 nt
Organism: Glycine soja
Lineage: Eukaryota; Viridiplantae; Streptophyta; Magnoliopsida; Fabales; Fabaceae
Exons: 8
Source: RefSeq, a predicted model, not a curated record
UUUUUUUUGUUGGAAUUAGGUUUUCAGACACACUUACUAGUUAUCAUUCUCAGCCUCCACUCGUCUUCUCGCGCCGCCGCUUCCGCCGGACAUCGUUGCCAUUUGCGUUGUCAUUACCGCCUUUUUCUUCACAAUAUUCCAAAAAUCAAAACAGCCGGCAGCCACUGCUUCAACAGCGUCGCCGCCGUCGUGGGCUCGUUUCACUGUUGCCACACCUUAAGCCAUAUCUCGACGCGCCGUCACGGUUGGUUUCCCUCUCACCCAGGCUUAUUGCUGGCUCAUCACUGGUCAGUUCAGGAUUGACGAUGGAAGCGAUAGUGAAAAAAUUUCAGUCAAAAUUCAGGAAAGUUAGGGAAGAAAUGAGUCGAUGGGAUGAGCUUCAAUCUUGCUUAAUUUCACAGUUUAGGAAUGCUUCUCAUAUUGUUGAUAGGUUGCAGGUGCUUCAAAAUUCCAACAAUUAUGGUGUUCUAAAUUGUGCCAGUGGCCUGAAAGAUGCUCUUUUGGUAAAGCAGAUUGAAUCUUUGAGGAACAUCUUGGUUUCCAUGAGAAAGACAUUGGAAGAAUUUCAUUGUAUUGUCUUAUCUCUUGACAAAAUUCACCGUGAUAGUAGACAACAAGUGAAAGGUGGUUCUUGUCACCUGAACAUGAAACAAUUGCAGCAACAAAUUGGCAUCAAACCUAGUCUUAUUUAUUGCUUGGAUAGCCUGAUGUUUAUACACGAGAUAUACAACUCUGAGUAUUUAUUAAAGUCAUCAGUGAUCUCAGCACUAUCAGAAAUUGCCUUAAAGCCCAGAUGUGCUUGUGUGUAUUUUGUUCGUUUGACUCUAUAUGUAUGUGAUAAAGUAAAAGAGAGGGUGCUAUAUGGAGCCGCAGGAGCCUGUAGAAGAAUUUUGUUAUCACCAUUCAAACCCGCCGGUCUUCUCUUAAUCAAACUUAUCUUUAAACAUAAACAGUCUUCAUGACUUAGUAUUAUCAGAAGUAAAACAUUCACAAGGGGAUCAUUAUACUCCUCCAAGAAGAGAUCUGAAUCAUCAGUGAAGUGAAGUGACAGUGAUCUUGGUGCACUUCAGCAACUCUUGGUUGAUCAACCCAAUCUCCAAACUGAGGAAGGUAUGCUAGAAUUAUGUGUGGGGUAGAAUGUAUAAUGCAUGUCCACAUCAUUAAUAAUUUCAUGUUAUGCUUAUGAUAAUCAUUAAGAAUGCUUAAUUUUGAAUUAGACCUUUGUAUGCUUCUGUGACCUCCUAUAUGAUCCUUAGAUCACUAUUGUUGUAUUGUUAACUUUUUGAAUUUGAAGUUCACAUUUACUUUGAUGUUAAUGAAUAGAAUCUACAAUUAUACAUGGUCUUUACUUGAGAGAAAUAUAUAGAUACUCUAGUACAAUAAAGCAAUUUUAAGAUAUGUUGGCGUUGGUGUUGUUUAAUGAUAGGACCCAAAGAUAACUAAGGUGUAGGUAAGAAGAAAGAAAAAUUUGGGUAUUCCUUGGCUGAAAGCCAGAGAUUAGUCCCUUGAAAUAUUGAGAUCCAUUUGGGGGAGAGUUUGGGCACCUCUCAAAUUACUUAGAGUUGGUUUCCUGUUUUUUUUCUUUCUUUGUAGUUCCUGCGUAUUUCAGAAAGACAGGACCUGAUAUCACCUUGAUGCAGAGCCGACUUUGUCUUAAUAAUAUUGUACCUUGGAGUUCUGCCCUUUUUUAUUCCUUUCUUUCUGGGGUAACUAUCAUUUAAUCUGUUUGUGGCAAACACAUGAUACGAUGAUAGUAUGAAAAAGUUUUUACAGUAAUCAUUGCUGGUUAAACACAUGUUAAUGUCAUUUCUUGCUGUAUGACUUUUGGCCGUAGUUCAAUUUGUAUUUGAUGUGAUAUUUGCUGAAGAACUGAGUUGAUGAUCCUCUCUACUAUGGAUGUUGACUUGGGACCAGGGGAUGCCUGAACUUUUAUACAUCAAGGGAGCCUUUUGAUCUCCCAGGGACGAUUGUUGAUGCAGAAUGAGUUAAGAUAAUUGUUGUUAUUUAAGGACUUUUACUUUAUUUUAGAAAUUUUAUCUUUAUUAAAUGAUUUUUGUAAGUAAUAGAUUGUCAUAUUUGGACUUACAAUUUGUUCUGAAUUGAUUAGGAUUUUAUAUUAUAGAAAACUAAUAUAUCAUUAGGAUUUGGGUUAAACAUGCACGUUUCCAAAUAUAAGGAACCGUAAGGAGACAGUUUCUUUAGGGACUAAAAGUGAGUAUUUGUACAUUUAGAGGAAAUAAAAAUAUAGUUAAUCCUUGAAAAU